RNAcentral lists this ribosomal RNA (451 nucleotides) under uncultured bacterium. Its description in RNAcentral is "partial 16S ribosomal RNA". It matches the Rfam family "Bacterial small subunit ribosomal RNA", at positions 354 to 796 of the family's 1533-position model. The record is from RNAcentral.
GUAGGGAAUCUUCCGCAAUGGACGAAAGUCUGACGGAGCAACGCCGCGUGAGUGAAGAAGGUUUUCGGAUCGUAAAACUCUGUUGUUAGGGAAGAACAAGUGCCGUUCGAAUAGGGCGGCGCCUUGACGGUACCUAACCAGAAAGCCACGGCUAACUACGUGCCAGCAGCCGCGGUAAUACGUAGGUGGCAAGCGUUGUCCGGAAUUAUUGGGCGUAAAGCGCGCGCAGGUGGUUUCUUAAGUCUGAUGUGAAAGCCCACGGCUCAACCGUGGAGGGUCAUUGGAAACUGGGGAAAUUGAGUGCAGAAGAGGAAAGUGGAAUUCCAAGUGUAGCGGUGAAAUGCGUAGAUAUUUGGAGGAACACCAGUGGCGAAGGCGACUUUCUGGUCUGUAACUGACACUGAGGCGCGAAAGCGUGGGGAGCAAACAGGAUUAGAAACCCCGGUAGUCC